This is a long non-coding RNA of Oncorhynchus keta (chum salmon), 361 nucleotides long. RefSeq lists it as uncharacterized. The record is from RefSeq and is a predicted model, not a curated record. Lineage: Eukaryota; Metazoa; Chordata; Actinopteri; Salmoniformes; Salmonidae. The transcript has 3 exons.
UGAGUUGUUCCUGUGUAGAAACAGUUGGAGCAUCUGCUGCUGAAGUUCUCUCCUGAGGAGGUGGAGUCUAAACGCUGGCAGAAGAUAGCUGACGCCCUGGGCAACAGGACCGCUAAACAGGUGGCCAGCCGCGUUCAGAAGUACUUCAUCAAACUGACUAAAGCAGGAAUCCCUGUUCCUGGGAGGACCCCCAACAUGUGCAUGUACAGCAAGAAGGUGUCCAAUAAGAGGCAGCACCACCUGAACAAGCACCUGUACCGACCGUCUACCUUCCUGACGUCAUAUGAGCCUCCGUCUUUAUGGAAGAAGAGGAUGAGAGAGCGGCCUACUACAGCUCCCUGCAGGACCCCGAUGGAGACGA